RNAcentral lists this ribosomal RNA (465 nucleotides) under uncultured bacterium. RNAcentral describes it as "partial 16S ribosomal RNA". It matches the Rfam family "Bacterial small subunit ribosomal RNA", at positions 29 to 507 of the family's 1533-position model. The record is from RNAcentral.
UACGCACGCUGGCGGCGUGCUUAACACAUGCAAGUCGAACGGAAAGGCCCCUUUGGGGGUACUCGAGUGGCGAACGGGUGAGUAACACGUGAGUAACCUGCCCUUGACUUCGGGAUAACUUCAGGAAACUGGGGCUAAUACCGGAUAGGAAUCCUUGCUGCAUGGUGGGGGUUGGAAAGCUUCGGCGGUUUUGGAUGGACUCGCGGCUUAUCAGCUUGUUUGUGGGGUAGUGGCUUACCAAGGCUUUGACGGGUAGCCGGCCUGAGAGGGCGACCGGCCACAUUGGGACUGAGAUACGGCCCAGACUCCUACGGGAGGCAGCAGUGGGGAAUAUUGCACAAUGGGCGGAAGCCUGAUGCAGCAACGCCGCGUGCGGGAUGACGGCCUUCGGGUUGUAAACCGCUUUCAGCAGGGGCGAAGCUUGUGGUGACGGUACCUGCAGAAGAAGCACCGGCUAACUACGUG